This 303-nucleotide ribosomal RNA is filed under the name uncultured bacterium. RNAcentral describes it as "partial 16S ribosomal RNA". It matches the Rfam family "Bacterial small subunit ribosomal RNA", at positions 507 to 807 of the family's 1533-position model. The record is from RNAcentral.
AGCAGUCGCCACGGUAAUACGAAGGGGGCUAGCGUUGCUCGGAAUCACUGGGCGUAAAGGGUGCGUAGGCGGGUCUUUAAGUCAGGGGUGAAAUCCUGGAGCUCAACUCCAGAACUGCCUUUGAUACUGAAGAUCUUGAGUUCGGGAGAGGUGAGUGGAACUGCGAGUGUAGAGGUGAAAUUCGUAGAUAUUCGCAAGAACACCAGUGGCGAAGGCGGCUCACUGGCCCGAUACUGACGCUGAGGCACGAAAGCGUGGGGAGCAAACAGGAUUAGAUACCCCGGUAGUCCCUGUCUCUUAUAC